AUUGAACGCUGGCGGCAGGCCUAACACAUGCAAGUCGAGCGGACGAAGGGAGCUUGCUCCUGGAUUCAGCGGCGGACGGGUGAGUAAUGCCUAGGAAUCUGCCUGGUAGUGGGGGAUAACGUCCGGAAACGGGCGCUAAUACCGCAUACGUCCUGAUGGAGAAAGGGGGGGAUCUUCGGAGCUCACGCGAUCAGAUGAGCCUAGGUCGGAUUAGCUAGUUGGUGGGGUAAAGGCCUACCAAGGCGACGAUCCGUAACUGGUCUGAGAGGAUGAUCAGUCACACUGGAACUGAGACACGGUCCAGACUCCUACGGGAGGCAGCAGUGGGGAAUAUUGGACAAUGGGCGAAAGCCUGAUCCAGCCAUGCCGCGUGUGUGAAGAAGGUCUUCGGAUUGUAAAGCACUUUAAGUUGGGAGGAAGGGCAGUAAGUUAAUACCUUGCUGUUUUGACGUUACCAACAGAAUAAGCACCGGCUAACUUCGUG
This 484-nucleotide ribosomal RNA is filed under the name uncultured bacterium. RNAcentral's name for it is "partial 16S ribosomal RNA". It matches the Rfam family "Bacterial small subunit ribosomal RNA", at positions 30 to 507 of the family's 1533-position model. The record is from RNAcentral.